GUGCCAGCCGCCGCGGUAAUACGUAGGGGGCGAGCGUUGUCCGGAAUCAUUGGGCGUAAAGCGCGUGUAGGCGGCUCGAUAAGUCCGGUGUGAAAACUUGGGGCUCAACCCCAAGCCUGCACUGGAUACUGCCGAGCUAGAGUCCGGGAGGGGAGAGCGGAAUUCCUAGUGUAGCGGUGAAAUGCGCAGAUAUUAGGAAGAACACCGGUGGCGAAGGCGGCUCUCUGGAACGGUACUGACGCUGAGACGCGAAAGCGUGGGGAGCGAACAGGAUUAGAUACCCCUGUAGUCC
RNAcentral lists this ribosomal RNA (292 nucleotides) under uncultured bacterium. Its description in RNAcentral is "partial 16S ribosomal RNA". It matches the Rfam family "Bacterial small subunit ribosomal RNA", at positions 505 to 796 of the family's 1533-position model. The record is from RNAcentral.